AAAAUAACAAUGAUUUCCCUAGUAACGGCGAGUGAAGAGGAAAGAGCUCAAAGUUGGAACCUGUUUGGCUUAGCUAAACCGGAUUGUAAACUGUAGAAACAUUUUCCAGAUACACUAGACAAAAAAGUCCUUUGGAACAGGGCAUCAUAGAGGGUGAGAAUCCCGUCUUUGGUCUAAGUAGUUGUCUAUUGUGAUAUGUUUUCAAAGAGUCAGGUUGUUUGGGAAUGCAGCCUAAAUUGGGUGGUAAAUCUCACCUAAAGCUAAAUAUUUGCGAGAGACCGAUAGCGAACAAGUACCGUGAGGGAAAGAUGAAAAGAACUUUGAAAAGAGAGUUAAACAGUAUGUGAAAUUGUUAAAAGGGAACCGUUUGGAGCCAGAUUGGCUUGAUUGUAAUCAACCUAGAAUUCGUUUUGGGUGCACUUGCAGUCUAUGCCUGCCAACGACAGUUUGAUUUGGAGGAAAAAAUUAAUAGGAAUGUGGCCUUUCGAGGUGUUAUAGCCUAUUAUCAUACUCUGGAUUGGACUGAGGAACGCAGCGAAUGCCUUUAGGCAAGAUUGCUGGGCGCUUUCGCUAAUAAAUGUUAGAAUUUCUGCUUCGGGUGGUGCUAAUGUUUAAAGGAGGAAGCCCGUUUAGUAUAUUUUUUAUUCGCUUAGGUUGUUGGCUUAAUGACUCUAAAUGAC
Molecule: ribosomal RNA, 680 nt
Filed under: uncultured Mucor
Lineage: Eukaryota; Fungi; Mucoromycota; Mucoromycetes; Mucorales; Mucoraceae
Description: eukaryotic LSU rRNA
Rfam family: Eukaryotic large subunit ribosomal RNA
Source: RNAcentral